Molecule: ribosomal RNA, 542 nt
Filed under: uncultured archaeon
Lineage: Archaea
Description: bacterial SSU rRNA
Rfam family: Archaeal small subunit ribosomal RNA
Source: RNAcentral
UUACGGGGUGCAGCAGGCGCGAAACCUCUGCAAUAGGCGAAAGCCUGACAGGGUUACUCUGAGUGAUUUCCGCUAAGGGGAUCUUUUGGCAUCUCUAAAAAUGGUGCAGAAUAAGGGGUGGGCAAGUCUGGUGUCAGCCGCCGCGGUAAUACCAGCACCCCGAGUGGUCGGGACGUUUAUUGGGCCUAAAGCAUCCGUAGCCGGUUCUACAAGUCUUCCGUUAAAUCCACCUGCACAACAGAUGGGCUGCGGAAGAUACUAUAGAGCUAGGAGGCGGGAGAGGCAAGCGGUACUCGAUGGGUAGGGGUAAAAUCCGUUGAUCCAUUGAAGACCACCAGUGGCGAAGGCGGCUUGCCAGAAUGCGCUCGACGGUGAGGGAUGAAAGCUGGGGGAGCAAACCGGAUUAGAUACCCGGGUAGUCCCAGCUGUAAACGAUGCAGACUCGGUGAUGGGCUAGCCUUGUGCCAGCCCAGUGCCGCAGGGAAGCCGUUAAGUCUGCCGCCUGGGUAGUACGGUCGCAAGACUGAAUCACUAGUGAAUUC